AACUGGUUUCAUAUAUGACCGAAAAGAUUUAAGCAAAGUUUGUGCUUUACCAUUUUUGUUUUAAGUGUGUAUAUGUAUGCCUGUGUUAUUGUUGUUGUUGUUAUUACUAUUAUUCUUUGAGAUUAUUUCUUAUCCAAGUGUGGCAUUUCCUAUAUGUUUCUCUGAAAUUUCAUUUGGAUUAGAGUCUACCCUGCUUUAAUAUUGGACCACCCGUAAAUGUGUUUACCUAUAAACUUCACGAUCCAGAUGUUCAUGCCCAAGCGUGAGGGAGGUGUAUUGUCCCAUAUUGGUAUGGGAUAAGGUGUUUAUGUUAUAUAUAAGACUUGGCAAACCUCCUCCCCUUGAGCUAACUUUUAAAGUGGAGUUAGGCCCGAUCUAUUUUCUUUACAGUUUCUGAACCCUUUUUCCUCAUGCUCACAUGGUACCAUAUUCCCUCACUCUAUGGUGCAGAAAACUCUAUUGUUUUUUAAUUCUUUCCAAAACAAUUUGAUUUUUGUGGUAUGGUAAUGCUGGCCUUUACAAUUGUGCUCAGCACCUACACAUAGAAGUGCACUCUUUACCAUCUUUAGCUUUGUUGCAAAUUUUCAUCCCAUCCAUUGCCAUAACAUAGGCUAUUAUUUAGAUUUUUUUUUUCUUUUGCCUUGGUUGCUUAUUUUUUAUUGUGGUGCAUCCUUUUUUUUCUUUGGGUGGCUGAGAAUUUCUAGGUUUUAGAUGUUUAAUAAUUUUAUUUUCAUUCACUUGGUGCAGAUUGAGAAAUUUACUCAUCAGAUG
RNAcentral lists this unclassified non-coding RNA (771 nucleotides) under Hevea brasiliensis (rubber tree). The record is from RNAcentral. Lineage: Eukaryota; Viridiplantae; Streptophyta; Magnoliopsida; Malpighiales; Euphorbiaceae.